AAAAUAAUCCUACCCUUUGUGAAUUUUGUUUGUUUGAAUAAUUUUUUUUUUUAAAAAAUUAUUGGAGUCUUUCCCUUUAGAGUUUGCUUUUGAGUUUGUAAAAGAAUUCGAAAACAUCUAAAGGGGAUGGUCAAUAAUUUUUUUGAAAAAAGACAUUUUUUAAAAUUAAACUUUUUGUAUUCAUUUGUCUAAAAAUUAUUUUUAUAAUAUAAAAACAACUUUUGACAAUGGAUCUCUUGGUUCUCGCAACGAUGAAGAACGCAGCAAAAUGCGAUAAGUAGUGUGAAUUGCAGAAUACGUGAAUCAUCGAAUCUUUGAACGCAUAUUGCACUUUUUUAGUUUACUAAAAAAGUAUGUCUGUUAUGAGUAUCAGUAAAAUAUUCUCAUAAAAAUCAUUGGUAUUUUUAUGGUUAUGAGUGUUUUACAACGAUACAAGUUGUUUCACUUUAAAUUUUUUUUAAUAUUGAAAUUUUUCUAAUUUUAAUAAUUAAAAUUGGAUAAAAUUUUCCCGUCAAAAGGAAUAACCUAAACAAUUUUAAAUGAUUAAUUUUAGCAAAAUUUUCGUAAAAAAAGGAAAAUUUUUAUUAAAAUAACUUGAUCUCAAAUCAGAUAAGAGUACCGCGAACUUAAGCAUAUCAAUAAGCGGAGGAAAAGAAACUAACAAGGAUUCCCUUAGUAACGGCGAGUGAAGCGGGAAGAGCUCAAAUUUGAAAUCUUCAAGGUUUUACCUUGACGAAUUGUAGUUUAAAGAAGUGUUUUCUGCUGAAGUUUUGGUAAAAGUUCUUUGGAAUAGGACAUCAUAGAGGGUGAGAAUCCCGUAUUUGACCAUUAUUUUCAGCUUUGUGAUACACUUUCAAAGAGUCGGAUUGUUUGGGAAUGCAGUCCAAAAUGGUGGUAAAUUUCAUCUAAAGCUAAAUAUUGGCGAGAGACUGAUAGCGAACAAGUACCGUGAGGGAAAGAUGAAAAGGACUUUGAAAAGAGAGUUAAACAGUACGUGAAAUUGUCAAAAGGGAAGCGUUUGACACCAGUGUUGUUUUCUCGAAAAAUCAAUUAAAAAUGGCUCGAUUUUGUAUUGCUGAGACUUAAAAGCUCACUGUACAUUUUUCGUGUCUUUUUUAAUGCACUUUCGUUUAACAAGUCAACAUCAGUUUCUUUUGUUGUAAAAGGGUCAUUGGAAGGUGGCUUUCUUUUCGGAGAAAGUGUUUAUAGCCUUUGGCCUCUGCAAUCGAAGAGACUGAGGUCUGCAGCGUAGACUCUUCGGGGUUAGAUACAUUUGUGCUAAGUUAUAGCUUUUUAUAGACAACUUGUUGACUAUAAUUAGUCUUGUAGCUUACUCGCUUAUGCUAUUU
RNAcentral lists this unclassified non-coding RNA (1349 nucleotides) under uncultured Neocallimastigales. RNAcentral's name for it is "partial contains internal transcribed spacer 1, 5.8S ribosomal RNA, internal transcribed spacer 2, and large subunit ribosomal RNA". The stretch from base 596 to 1349 matches the Rfam family "Eukaryotic large subunit ribosomal RNA", at positions 1 to 617 of the family's 3401-position model. The record is from RNAcentral. Lineage: Eukaryota; Fungi; Neocallimastigomycota; Neocallimastigomycetes; Neocallimastigales.